AGUCUCUUUCCCAAGGAGAAUGGGCACUGUCGAUUGCAGCAUCUGGAAACUGAUCAUGGGGCUAACUUGAGACUCAGGCGACGCCUCCAUCACAGCAAAUGUACUGUGGUCGUGACAGUGAGACCUGCCACAUUU
This 135-nucleotide small nucleolar RNA is filed under the name Carlito syrichta (Philippine tarsier). RNAcentral describes it as "Small nucleolar RNA SNORA1 (ENSTSYG00000024050.2)". It matches the Rfam family "Small nucleolar RNA SNORA1". Rfam says of the family: ACA1 is a member of the H/ACA class of snoRNA that guide the sites of modification of uridines to pseudouridines. The record is from Rfam by way of RNAcentral. Lineage: Eukaryota; Metazoa; Chordata; Mammalia; Primates; Tarsiidae.